This 83-nucleotide transfer RNA is filed under the name Schistocephalus solidus. It matches the Rfam family "tRNA". From Rfam's summary of the family: Transfer RNA (tRNA) molecules are approximately 80 nucleotides in length. Their secondary structure includes four short double-helical elements and three loops (D, anti-codon, and T loops). Lineage: Eukaryota; Metazoa; Platyhelminthes; Cestoda; Diphyllobothriidea; Diphyllobothriidae. The record is from Rfam by way of RNAcentral.
GGCCUCGUUGCUCAGUUGGCUAGAGCAUUGGCUGUACUAAAAUCUUCGCCUUGCUGGUGUGGGUUCGAAUCCCAUCGAGGUCG